Molecule: ribosomal RNA, 532 nt
Filed under: Colletotrichum fragariae
Lineage: Eukaryota; Fungi; Ascomycota; Sordariomycetes; Glomerellales; Glomerellaceae
Description: SSU rRNA
Rfam family: Eukaryotic small subunit ribosomal RNA
Source: RNAcentral
CAGCAGCCGCGGUAAUUCCAGCUCCAAUAGCGUAUAUUAAAGUUGUUGUGGUUAAAAAGCUCGUAGUAGAACCUUGGGCCUGGCUGGCCGGUCCGCCUCACCGCGUGCACUGGUCCGGCCGGGCCUUUCCCCCUGUGGAACCUCAUGCCCUUCACUGGGUGUGUGGGAAAACAGGACUUUUACUUUGAAAAAAUUAGAGUGCUCCAGGCAGGCCUAUGCUCGAAUACAUUAGCAUGGAAUAAUAGAAUAGGACGUGUGGUUCUAUUUUGUUGGUUUCUAGGACCGCCGUAAUGAUUAAUAGGGACAGUCGGGGGCAUCAGUAUUCAAUUGUCAGAGGUGAAAUUCUUGGAUUUAUUGAAGACUAACUACUGCGAAAGCAUUUGCCAAGGAUGUUUUCAUUUAUCAGGAACGAAAGUUAGGGGAUCGAAGACGAUCAGAUACCGUCGUAGUCUUAACCAUAAACUAUGCCGACUAGGGAUCGGACGAUGUUAUUUUUUGACUCGUUCGGCACCUUACGAGAAAUCAAAGUGCU